CCUCAAUGGAUGACAAACAAGUUUAGGGCCUGAUCUCUGUGCUAGGCUGGGUGAGUGUAGAAGCUGAGCCUCCACAGUCCUUUACGGAGAAAAGGAGAAGAUGCCAUUUUCUGCUUGUCUCACAUCUCCAGGGUAGCAGUGGGACGGAAGUUCCAGGACGAGACAAGAGACCAGCUUGGUAUGGAAGUCUAUGGCAGCUGACAAACUGGGAAAAAAUGCUAGAAACUUGGCUGGCUAAUCUGGAUAUUUCUAUCCCUUCAUCAUGAGAAUUAACUGUGCAUUUCUCAAGAGUUUUGCACUGAGGAUAAAGUAGUUUUUGUUGGAUACUGCCAGUUCUCUAAGAGCUCAAUUUGCAAAGCUAUGUUUUAUUCCUUUGACCUGUAGUCCUGAUCCAUGAUGAUAUUUGCUAUGACAGUUUCCUUUUUGCUGGGUUCUGUCACAUAAAUCGAGUUACUCCACCAAAAAUAAACAAAGUUUUUUUUUUUUCUCAGAGAGAGAGGAAAACAAUUAAUUUGCAAAAGUUUUAUGAAUAAUAAUAUUUUAAACUUCCUGAACCUUUUUUCUUUGGCUUGGUGUGAAGUCUUUUGUAAUAUUGCUGUGGCUGAAUUUUAAAAACACGUCAUCAUCCGUGACUAAAUCUCUUUUAGCCUUCACUUUUUAUUACAGAAUUCACCCACUCCUGUCUUAACAAGGUACAGAAUCUUCAGUAAGUGACCCAAAUGUAGCACGGUAGUCAAACUCGCUACAUAAUCACGUGAACUAUUAUGUCACUAAGAUACGCUGGUAUAACCAUUACUAGAAAGAAAUCCCUAACCAGAACCCUGUGGUGUUGUUUGGUUU
Long non-coding RNA from Chroicocephalus ridibundus (black-headed gull), 840 nucleotides. RefSeq lists it as uncharacterized. The record is from RefSeq and is a predicted model, not a curated record. Lineage: Eukaryota; Metazoa; Chordata; Aves; Charadriiformes; Laridae. The transcript has 3 exons.